Molecule: ribosomal RNA, 402 nt
Filed under: uncultured bacterium
Lineage: Bacteria
Description: bacterial SSU rRNA
Rfam family: Bacterial small subunit ribosomal RNA
Source: RNAcentral
UCGGGAAUUUUGGGCAAUGGGCGAAAGCCUGACCCAGCAACGCCGCGUGAGGGAUGAAGUAUUUCGGUAUGUAAACCUCGAAAGAAUGGGAAGAAUAAAUGACGGUACCAUUUAUAAGCUCCGGCUAACUACGUGCCAGCAGCCGCGGUAAUACGUAGGGAGCAAGCGUUGUUCGGAUUUACUGGGCGUAAAGCGCGUGCAGGCGGAUUGGAGAGUUGGAUGUGAAAGCUCCCGGCUUAACUGGGAGAGGUCGUUCAAUACUUCCAGUCUUGAGUGCAGUAGAGGGAAGUGGAAUUCCGGGUGUAGUGGUGAAAUGCGUAGAUAUCCGGAGGAACACCAGUGGCGAAAGCGGCUUCCUGGACUGUAACUGACGCUCAGACGCGAAAGCUAGGGUAGCAAACG